Molecule: long non-coding RNA, 1841 nt
Organism: Macaca fascicularis (crab-eating macaque)
Lineage: Eukaryota; Metazoa; Chordata; Mammalia; Primates; Cercopithecidae
Source: Ensembl
GCAGAACAAGAUCGUGGGCUGCAAUUAAAAUUCCCAUCCCGGGUAAUUCCCGGGCCUCCAUGGGGCUGUUUCCAUGGCAAGGGAGGCUGGCGCAGAGAAGGCAGGCUCCAUGCAGGGCUGAGCUCCCUCCUCCGUCCCUGUCCACAAAAGCCUCAGCCCUUGGCCGGGCAGUUCCAAGCCAGAUCUGUAAUCCAGCUCAGAAUGCAGCAAGGUGCAAGCGGAGGCCCAGGAGACAGCCCCUGCUCCCAAACUCUGUGGGCAGGUGCCCAAACUGGCAGGGAAGGAAAGGAGGGACAGUGUCUGUGCCCAGGGAGCCACUCCAUGACAUGUCCUAAAACAAUAUGAGGCCACUAAGGCACUGGCCCUGGAGCAGCCAGGUAGCAGGAAGGAAAAGUCGGGAAGAAACCUUCCACCCGCAGAAAGCAUGCUCCUUGUCUGAUAAACCCUUCCCACCGCCAGGGCCCAUCAGUCCUCCCACUGGCCUCCAGGCAGGGCUCCCCCAUCCUGCCUCCCACCCACUCACCUCUUACACAUUGUCACCCCUAGUCCUCACUCCUUCUUGCCCACGCGGGCUCACUACCUCCUGGCCCCCAAGGCAGCCCUUUGUGUAACCCUGGCUACUGUCAAGAAGACUGGAGGCCCUUCUGGCAUGUUCCCCGCUGGCAGAUGAGGAUGAGUAGCGCAGAGCGGGCACACGUCUCCGCGGGCAGACAUCAGAGGUGAUAAGGGCAGGAGAGAGAUGCCAGGGCUGUCCCUGAGGCCUCCCCUCUGAGGAAUCCUGCAGAAGCUCAGUGGGCUGGACAGAUAACGUGUAAUACCAGUACACAGAACUCCCACAUCUGGAGAGUCUGACCUGCAGAGGCCACCACGGGUCCUGCCUCCUGGGGUGGUUCUGGAGCCUGUGUUCCCUGGGAGGGGAGGCCUGCUUCCAGGUGGUUCCCCUGCAGGCUGCUUCCGCGGGGCCCUCAGGCUGCCCACACUCAUUCAUCCCAGGAGGGGAGAGAAGGAGAGAUAAGUGAAUUUGAUUUCACUUCCUUUUUCUCGCCUAGUCCCCAUUCCUGAUCUGCCCCCAGCCUCUCUGCUCCAAGUGCACCAUCUGCAGGCAGUCCCAGCCCCUGGCAUUCAGGAGACAGUGGACAGCUUGGAGAAUGGGAGGUGUCCUCAGGCACCCUGCCCAGCCCCAGCCUCAACUGGUGUUCUUUCCCUCCUCCUGUUGAGGAAGGAGGGGGAUGGGUGUCCUUGCCAGGUGUGGCCAGCCCUUGGUCAGGGGCCCAUGGGCACAUCCCACUAGACAGCCCAGCCCUGGUCAAUGCCACACGGGCGGCUCUGGGAACUCAGCCCAGGAACAAUGAGGCCAUUCACUCAGCCUGGGCUUCACACAAUGACCCUCUUGGUCUAUCUCCGUGGCAAGAUGGUGUGUGAGAGUGAGAGAGAGAGUGUGUGUGUGUGUGUGUGUGUGUGUGUGUGUGUGUAAGAGAGAGAGGGGAACUGGAGGUAACCAGAGAGUCCAAAUAGAGGCAGGAGAAAGAGUAGCAACCAGGGAUUUCAUGAUAAUCAUGCUGGCAUCUAUCCUAUAUGCCAGGCACUGUAUUGGGUACUUGCAUUAUCCUCACAACAGCCCUGUGAGUCAGUCCCAAUAGAAGCCCCAUUUUUGAGCUAAGGAAACCGAGGUAGGGUCAUAGAAGUCAGAAUAACAGGAACAUCUUGGCAGUGGUAUCCUCUAGUUUUAUUUGGGUGGUCCCAUGGGUGCAUACUUAUGCAAAUGUUCAUUGUACUGUCCACUGAAGAGUUGUCCAUUUUGCUGUCUGUAAAUUGCAUUUCAGCAAAAAAAAAAAAAAAAA